UGUUAAUAGGGGAAUGAUGUCUCCCUCAGUUUUUACUGAAACCGCAAUGAACUUGCUAAUGACUUCUGCCUCAGU
Molecule: non-coding RNA, 75 nt
Filed under: Enterococcus asini
Lineage: Bacteria; Bacillati; Bacillota; Bacilli; Lactobacillales; Enterococcaceae
Also listed under: 1 other name
Description: Fluoride sequence
Rfam family: Fluoride riboswitch aptamer (crcB RNA motif)
Source: RNAcentral